This is a long non-coding RNA of Thunnus maccoyii (southern bluefin tuna), 252 nucleotides long. RefSeq lists it as uncharacterized. Lineage: Eukaryota; Metazoa; Chordata; Actinopteri; Scombriformes; Scombridae. The transcript is spliced from 2 exons. The record is from RefSeq and is a predicted model, not a curated record.
CACUGUUAUCAAGCUACAAACACCCAGCUCUGCCACUACCACCCUGCCAGAUCGUAGCCUCUGCUUCAUUCCAUCUGCUCUGUCUCCUGCUCGUCUCCAGUCCCUUGUCUCGUCUCAUCAGCCCUGCUUCCCUUCCCUGGAUCCCUGCUCUUCCCAGCUUCCAGCCCAAUCCUCAGCCCCAGUUCCCAGUUACUAGCCCAAGCUUACCCAGGCCUGCCCAGUCUUCAUAAUAAAUACCUUGUUUCUAUCAUA